RNAcentral lists this ribosomal RNA (375 nucleotides) under uncultured organism. Its description in RNAcentral is "partial 16S ribosomal RNA". It matches the Rfam family "Bacterial small subunit ribosomal RNA", at positions 527 to 896 of the family's 1533-position model. The record is from RNAcentral.
GUAGGUGGCAAGCGUUGUCCGGAAUUAUUGGGCGUAAAGCGCGCGCAGGCGGUUCUUUAAGUCUGAUGUGAAAGCCCACGGCUCAACCGUGGAGGGUCAUUGGAAACUGGGGGACUUGAGUACAGAAGAGGAAAGCGGAAUUCCAAGUGUAGCGGUGAAAUGCGUAGAGAUUUGGAGGAACACCAGUGGCGAAGGCGGCUUACUGGUCUGUAACUGACGCUGAGGCGCGAAAGCGUGGGGAGCAAACAGGAUUAGAUACCCUGGUAGUCCACGCCGUAAACGAUGAGUGCUAAGUGUUAGGGGGUUUCCCGCCCCCCUUAGUGCUGCAGCUAACGCAUUAAGCACUCCGCCUGGGGGAGUACGGCCGCAAGGCUG